GAAAUACAAUAAGUAAUAUAAAUUGCAGAAUUCAGUGAAUCAUCGAAUCUUUGAACGUACAUUGCGCCCGCUAGUAUUCUAGCGGGCAUGCCUAUUCGAGCGUCAUUUCAACCAUCAAGCCCCCGGGCUUAUAUUAGGGACCUACGGCCGCCGCAGGCCCCGAAAAGUAGUAGCGGGCUCGCUAUUACCCCGAGUGUAGUAGCAAUCACCUCGCUUAGGGCGUACUAUAGGCACCGGUCGUUAAAACCAAUGUACCAACGUACCCCCCAAAGGUUAACCUCGGAUUAGGUAGGAAUACCCACUGAACUUAA
This 311-nucleotide unclassified non-coding RNA is filed under the name uncultured Thielavia. RNAcentral describes it as "sequence contains ITS1". The stretch from base 1 to 105 matches the Rfam family "5.8S ribosomal RNA", at positions 50 to 154 of the family's 154-position model. The record is from RNAcentral. Lineage: Eukaryota; Fungi; Ascomycota; Sordariomycetes; Sordariales; Chaetomiaceae.